AACGCACAUUGCGCCCUUUGGUAUUCCGAAGGGCAUGCCUGUCUGAGCGUCAAUAAAUCAAUCAAACCUUGGUUUGGUAUUGGGAGAAGAGGUUUUGCCUCUCUCCUUUAAGCUAUUGGCGACGCUAUUUCAGCUUGUAAGACGUAGUAAGUAAUUUCUCGUUAAAGCAACUGUAUGGCUGUCUGCCAAAUGAACGAUUUAUUUUACAGCUUGACCUCAGAUCAGGUAGGGAUACCCCCUGAACUUAA
This 248-nucleotide unclassified non-coding RNA is filed under the name uncultured Ascobolaceae. RNAcentral describes it as "sequence contains ITS2". The stretch from base 1 to 52 matches the Rfam family "5.8S ribosomal RNA", at positions 103 to 154 of the family's 154-position model. The record is from RNAcentral. Lineage: Eukaryota; Fungi; Ascomycota; Pezizomycetes; Pezizales; Ascobolaceae.